UCUCUUUGUAGACCAGGCUUGUCUGGAAUUC
Molecule: non-coding RNA, 31 nt
Filed under: Mus musculus (house mouse)
Lineage: Eukaryota; Metazoa; Chordata; Mammalia; Rodentia; Muridae
Source: RNAcentral